RNAcentral lists this ribosomal RNA (1940 nucleotides) under Campylobacter jejuni. Its description in RNAcentral is "partial 23S ribosomal RNA". It matches the Rfam family "Bacterial large subunit ribosomal RNA", at positions 998 to 2925 of the family's 2925-position model. The record is from RNAcentral. Lineage: Bacteria; Pseudomonadati; Campylobacterota; Epsilonproteobacteria; Campylobacterales; Campylobacteraceae.
AUAAAAUCCGUCGUCAAGAGGGAAACAACCCAGACUACCAGCUAAGGUCCCUAAAUCUUACUUAAGUGGAAAACGAUGUGAAGUUACUUAAACAACCAGGAGGUUGGCUUAGAAGCAGCCAUCCUUUAAAGAAAGCGUAAUAGCUCACUGGUCUAGUGAUUUUGCGCGGAAAAUAUAACGGGGCUAAAGUAAGUACCGAAGCUGUAGACUUAGUUUACUAAGUGGUAGGAGAGCGUUCUAUUUGCGUCGAAGGUAUACCGGUAAGGAGUGCUGGAGCGAAUAGAAGUGAGCAUGCAGGCAUGAGUAGCGAUAAUUAAUGUGAGAAUCAUUAACGCCGUAAACCCAAGGUUUCCUACGCGAUGCUCGUCAUCGUAGGGUUAGUCGGGUCCUAAGUCGAGUCCGAAAGGGGUAGACGAUGGCAAAUUGGUUAAUAUUCCAAUACCAACAUUAGUGUGCGAUGGAAGGACGCUUAGGGCUAAGGGGGCUAGCGGAUGGAAGUGCUAGUCUAAGGUCGUAGGAGGUUGUACAGGCAAAUCCGUAUAACAAUACUCCGAGAACUGAAAGGCUUUUUGAAGUCUUCGGAUGGAUAGAAGAACCCCUGAUGCCGUCGAGCCAAGAAAAGUUUCUAAGUUUAGCUAAUGUUGCCCGUACCGUAAACCGACACAGGUGGGUGGGAUGAGUAUUCUAAGGCGCGUGGAAGAACUCUCUUUAAGGAACUCUGCAAAAUAGCACCGUAUCUUCGGUAUAAGGUGUGGUUAGCUUCGUACUAGGAUUUACUCCGAAAGCGAAGAAACUUACAACAAAGAGUCCCUCCCGACUGUUUACCAAAAACACAGCACUCUGCUAACUCGUAAGAGGAUGUAUAGGGUGUGACGCCUGCCCGGUGCUCGAAGGUUAAUUGAUGGGGUUAGCAUUAGCGAAGCUCUUGAUCGAAGCCCGAGUAAACGGCGGCCGUAACUAUAACGGUCCUAAGGUAGCGAAAUUCCUUGUCGGUUAAAUACCGACCUGCAUGAAUGGCGUAACGAGAUGGGAGCUGUCUCAAAGAGGGAUCCAGUGAAAUUGUAGUGGAGGUGAAAAUUCCUCCUACCCGCGGCAAGACGGAAAGACCCCGUGGACCUUUACUACAGCUUGACACUGCUACUUGGAUAAGAAUGUGCAGGAUAGGUGGGAGGCUUUGAGUAUAUGACGCCAGUUGUAUAUGAGCCAUUGUUGAGAUACCACUCUUUCUUAUUUGGGUAGCUAACCAGCUUGAGUUAUCCUCAAGUGGGACAAUGUCUGGUGGGUAGUUUGACUGGGGCGGUCGCCUCCCAAAUAAUAACGGAGGCUUACAAAGGUUGGCUCAGAACGGUUGGAAAUCGUUCGUAGAGUAUAAAGGUAUAAGCCAGCUUAACUGCAAGACAUACAAGUCAAGCAGAGACGAAAGUCGGUCUUAGUGAUCCGGUGGUUCUGUGUGGAAGGGCCAUCGCUCAAAGGAUAAAAGGUACCCCGGGGAUAACAGGCUGAUCUCCCCCAAGAGCUCACAUCGACGGGGAGGUUUGGCACCUCGAUGUCGGCUCAUCGCAUCCUGGGGCUGGAGCAGGUCCCAAGGGUAUGGCUGUUCGCCAUUUAAAGCGGUACGCGAGCUGGGUUCAGAACGUCGUGAGACAGUUCGGUCCCUAUCUGCCGUGGGCGUAAGAAGAUUGAAGAGAUUUGACCCUAGUACGAGAGGACCGGGUUGAACAAACCACUGGUGUAGCUGUUGUUCUGCCAAGAGCAUCGCAGCGUAGCUAAGUUUGGAAAGGAUAAACGCUGAAAGCAUCUAAGCGUGAAGCCAACUCUAAGAUGAAUCUUCUCUAAGCUCUCUAGAAGACUACUAGUUUGAUAGGCUGGGUGUGUAAUGGAUGAAAGUCCUUUAGCUGACCAGUACUAAUAGAGCGUUUGGCUUAUCUUUAAUAAAGCAU